UGUUGGGAUUAGGCCCAACGUUCAAGGACAAAGGGAGUUUAAAUGGAACUCCCUUCAACAUGAUUCACUCCCAUCUUCCAUCUUGCACUACUGCUCUCUCUCCUUUUCAAAUAUGUUGUUGAAGGUGAAGCUAAUGGAGAUGCAGAGAAGACCACAAAACCUUCAAUCAGUGUUGGUAGGAAUGACUUGAAAUGAAGAUAUGCUCAUGAAAGUUUUGGUCAAGGCAUGGAGGCUUGGGGAAGGAUUAUAAAAUGGCAAGGCAUAGAAUAAGUCAUGGAUCGUGGUUGGAGACUUGAAGACUUGGAAGUUCAAUCAUGGAAGACUCAUGAGGAUGUGGAAACAAGUAGGAUAGGGUUUUAGGAUAGUUGGUUGACUUUGGUCAACUCUUUGACUAAAAGUCAACAGUUGACUAAAAGUCAACUCUAUGUCAAAAUAUGUAAAUUUUGUGUAAUUUGAUUCUUGACUCUUUUGUAAUAAAUUUUUUGAAGGGUUUGUGAUGGAAAUUGGCCCUUAAAUUGGAUUGUAUGUCUUAUACUUCAUGAAAGUUCUUUUCCCCUCCAA
This is a long non-coding RNA of Lathyrus oleraceus (garden pea), 561 nucleotides long. RefSeq lists it as uncharacterized. The transcript has 2 exons. Lineage: Eukaryota; Viridiplantae; Streptophyta; Magnoliopsida; Fabales; Fabaceae. The record is from RefSeq and is a predicted model, not a curated record.